UGGAUAGUGGCGACGGGUGAGUAACACGUGGGCAAUCUGCCCUGCACUCUGGGACAAGCCCUGGAAACGGGGUCUAAUACCGGAUACUGAUCCGCCUGGGCAUCCAGGCGGUUCGAAAGCUCCGGCGGUGCAGGAUGAGCCCGCGGCCUAUCAGCUUGUUGGUGAGGUAGUGGCUCACCAAGGCGACGACGGGUAGCCGGCCUGAGAGGGCGACCGGCCACACUGGGACUGAGACACGGCCCAGACUCCUACGGGAGGCAGCAGUGGGGAAUAUUGCACAAUGGGCGAAAGCCUGAUGCAGCGACGCCGCGUGAGGGAUGACGGCCUUCGGGUUGUAAACCUCUUUCAGCAGGGAAGAAGCGAAAGUGACGGUACCUGCAGAAGAAGCGCCGGCUAACUACGUGCCAGCAGCCGCGGUAAUACGUAGGGCGCAAGCGUUGUCCGGAAUUAUUGGGCGUAAAGAGCUCGUAGGCGGCUUGUCACGUCGGUUGUGAAAGCCCGGGGCUUAACCCCGGGUCUGCAGUCGAUACGGGCAGGCUAGAGUUCGGUAGGGGAGAUCGGAAUUCCUGGUGUAGCGGUGAAAUGCGCAGAUAUCAGGAGGAACACCGGUGGCGAAGGCGGAUCUCUGGGCCGAUACUGACGCUGAGGAGCGAAAGCGUGGGGAGCGAACAGGAUUAGAUACCCUGGUAGUCCACGCCGUAAACGGUGGGCACUAGGUGUGGGCAACAUUCCACGUUGUCCGUGCCGCAGCUAACGCAUUAAGUGCCCCGACUGGGGAGUACGGCGCAGGCUAAAACUCAAAGGAAUUGACGGGGCCCG
Molecule: ribosomal RNA, 819 nt
Filed under: Streptomyces sp.
Lineage: Bacteria; Bacillati; Actinomycetota; Actinomycetes; Kitasatosporales; Streptomycetaceae
Description: bacterial SSU rRNA
Rfam family: Bacterial small subunit ribosomal RNA
Source: RNAcentral